UCCUCUAAAAAUCAGAAUACUCACAGAGAAAACCUCCCAGAUGCUCUGGAAGAACAGUGGCCAAGCAAAAUUCUCCCAGAGGGGAGAGUCUGCCACAGCCCUUCUGGCUGGCCAGGAACUUUUGAAAUGCAGAGGAGCCUUUGGAAUAAAGCCUUGAGCAUGAGGGGCAGACCCCUGCAUCCAAACACCACCUGACUCUGUGUGAACCAGGAGCUGUUAGAAUGUCUGUGCUAUGUUAAAGGUCAUCUGCCUACAAUUUAAUGAUACAGACCUCAAACUUAUAAACAUGAGGGACUUCUGCCUCUAGGUUAACUGGUUUCCCACGGUACAGGACACAGUACCCACAGUCCAGGAGGCGGGGCUUCUGAGAUACCUAGAAACAGCUUAGAGGCAAAAUGGCAAAACAAAGCAGCACCAACAAAUAAAACCAAGCUUCUCAAACUGGC
This is a long non-coding RNA of Sapajus apella (tufted capuchin), 446 nucleotides long. RefSeq lists it as uncharacterized. NCBI's taxonomy places the organism in Eukaryota, Metazoa, Chordata, Mammalia, Primates, Cebidae. The transcript is spliced from 4 exons. The record is from RefSeq and is a predicted model, not a curated record.